This is an RNA transcript of Priapulus caudatus, 1376 nucleotides long. It is a transcript of the gene named P2X purinoceptor 4-like, with no coding region annotated. The transcript has 11 exons. The record is from RefSeq and is a predicted model, not a curated record. Lineage: Eukaryota; Metazoa; Priapulida; Priapulimorpha; Priapulimorphida; Priapulidae.
ACCAAUUGCAGAUGUGGAGAGUAUGGGAGUUUUAAGCUACGCCAGAAGAGGCGUCGCCGUUUUCUUUGAAUAUGACACGCCAAGAAUUGUUCACAUCCGUAGCAAGAAGGUUGGAGUCAUCAAUCGAAUUAUACAGUUCCUCAUUGUCGCUUACAUCGUCGGGUACGUGAUCAUCUACAGUAAGGGCUACCAGAAGUUUGGCGGCAUCGACAGCGCGGUGACGACGAAGGUGAAGGGGACCAUCUACACGAACGUGAGCGGCCUCGACCCGCUCUACAACAACCGCAUAUGGGACGUCGGCGACUACAUCCAGCCCGCGCAGGAGAACGGGGCGUUUUUCGUCAUGACGAACGUGAUCAUCACGCCGAACCAGACGCAGGGAGAGUGCGCCGAGGACCCGGCCAUCAUGCCCUGCGACACGGCCGAUAACUGCACCGCGGGCGAGCAGACGCCCAACGGCAACGGUGUGAUGACUGGAGAGUGUGUAUCGUACCCGCCCGAGCCCACGCUGCGGUCGUGCGAGAUACACGCAUGGUGCCCCGUCGAACUGGACGAGCUUCCCCUUGAGGAGGCACUACUGAAGAAUUCUUCUGUCUUCACAGUCCUCCUCAAGAACAGCGUAGAAUUCCCACAGUUUGGGAUAAAGCGACGAAACAUUCUCAACACGAUGGACUCUGAGUUUCUGCACAAGUGUCGCUACGACCCGAACAACGCGACGGCGAAGCUGUGUCCGGUGUUUGAGCUCGGCGUUCUGGCAUCGUCCGCCGGCCAGGAUUACGCGAAGAUGGCGAUAAAAGGUGGCGUCAUGGAGAUCGUCAUCACGUGGGAUUGUAACUUUGAUCGCGACGUGCAUGAAUGCAUUUCCGCAAUACAGCUUCUCCCGUCUCGACGACCGAACGACGAGCUCGCGAAGGGAUACAACUUCAGGUACGCUCACUACUACUACACUGGAGACGUGCAGACCAGAGUUCUCUACAAGGCUUACGGGAUACGCUUCAUGAUCAGCGUGACCGGGCAGGCAGGAAAGUUCAACAUCAUUCCACUCGCUACUAACAUCGGUGCUGGCCUGGCACUGCUGGGCAUAGCUAGGAUCUGCUGUGACAUCGUCGUGUUGCACCUGCACAGGAGGAAGGCGUUCUACCACGACGUCAAGUUCAAGGUCGUCCAGACGGAGGCGGGCGACAGGCCGUCCCAGCACAGCCCGGACAGCGAACGCGCGGACCCUGUUGUCCGUCGGGCGUAGUAGUCGAGCAAGACGCGGCGGCGAGUGUUAGUGGGUCGCGGAGAUAAACGGCAGCUGGGAGAAGAAGACAAUGGUCCCCCUGAUGCCGGCAGCACUAGAUGAACAGAGAGAGAGAGAAGAGAAAGAGAGAGAG